UACGUAGGGGGCUAGCGUUGUCCGGAAUCAUUGGGCGUAAAGAGCUUGUAGGCGGUUUGUCGCGUCUGCCGUGAAAAUUCGAGGCUCAACCUCGAACUUGCGGUGGGUACGGGCAGACUAGAGUGUGGUAGGGGAGACUGGAAUUCCUGGUGUAGCGGUGAAAUGCGCAGAUAUCAGGAGGAACACCGAUGGCGAAGGCAGGUCUCUGGGCCACUACUGACGCUGAGAAGCGAAAGCAUGGGGAGCGAACAGG
RNAcentral lists this ribosomal RNA (253 nucleotides) under uncultured bacterium. Its description in RNAcentral is "partial 16S ribosomal RNA". It matches the Rfam family "Bacterial small subunit ribosomal RNA", at positions 524 to 776 of the family's 1533-position model. The record is from RNAcentral.